Solea senegalensis (Senegalese sole) is the source of this 1585-nucleotide long non-coding RNA. RefSeq lists it as uncharacterized. The transcript has 5 exons. NCBI's taxonomy places the organism in Eukaryota, Metazoa, Chordata, Actinopteri, Pleuronectiformes, Soleidae. The record is from RefSeq and is a predicted model, not a curated record.
GGGUAGAACGUCUGAGGGAAGGAAAGAGAGACAGGUGUGGAGCGGAAGAGCAGAAGAAAGCUACAAAGUUUACUGCACCUGCAGCUGCUCCUGUUGACACCUGCUCGUUGCCGGGGAAGCGUGUGACGUUGUACGCCGCCAAAGAUCGUCGGUGCAAACGAGAUGGCCAACUCCGACUCCUGCAAGGGAACUCUCCCUCCUGAGCAACGGAGCCCUUAUUGGCCACUGAAGGGGUCGUCCGACGUUGGUUGUCCUCGUGGCGAGACCUGGAGGUGGGAGGAGGUGGAGGAGGAGGAUGAGGGGGGUGGAUGACCCGGGACAGCGGCUGGUCUCUCCUGAUGUCCUCCUGGCCUUUCAUGAUCAUCACAGUCCCAGGCUGGUGGCGCAAGCACAGAAAGGUGUAGUUAACAUGAAACGCUCCACUUUAACAUAAUCACUGAGAGCAAUUAGUUGCAAAAGAAUCAGCAUUUCAGACGUUCAUGAAAAACAUGCAGCCUGGCACGUUCAUCAACAAAAACUUAUGUACUUAGCGGGCCUUACUGGUGAAAUGCAAAGGCAAUAACAAAAGCCAAAUGUUUUUUUUGUUGAGUCAUUGUUUGCGCUACACAGUUACACAAUCACUGAGAGUUUGACAAAAGCCAAAUUGUUACCACAAAGUGUCCAGCAGGGGGAAGCAGAUCCAACAAAUGUCCGCCAGGAAAAGUAGGACAGUUCAAAAGGACAAAAUGCUGGGGGUCUGGUUUCCGACUGGAGUCAUUCCAGUCAUUGUUUCACUUCCCAUGCAAUGGUCGAUGUCACACUCACGUUCUCAGAGGACUGCAGCGUGUGUGUCGCCCUGGUGGAGCUGACAUCCUGUUUCCUGUCAGCUGACCCUUCCCACUUCCUGCUGUCCUCCUCCCGCUGCGGCUCCAGUCGCUCGCUCAGCGGAGCCCAGACCAGAUCAGCGUUAUAAUGAUCCAGCUCGACAGAUGACCGCUGCCUCAGCUCUGGCACCUCCGCCUGGUACCGUGACCCAAUGUUUAUCCGCCUGGAAACAGGACAUCAAGUGUGAGCGACAAAGAUGGGAGACAAUUCAAAAAGUCAUCCCGUGCCUCUACGCUGGUAUGAGGCAUUUAUUCUCGCUUGAAUCUCUCAGCCGAUACAACAGUGCCUUUCAAGAAAAGUGCACUUGUUUUAUUUCCGAGAUCACAUUUUGAUUUCUUAGCUUUUCUUUCAGCCAUGAUCUUUAAAUAGCCACAGAGCAUCUGGCUCCACACGCAGCAGUUCUAGCAUGGUUUUCUAUUCAAGCUCAUUGCACAGCUCACACACACUGUUCCAAUUCCUGUCCAGAUAGAUUCUCAGUGCUACAGGUCAUGGAUACAACUAAACUCAAGAGUUAACUCCUCAAAUUGACUGGAUUGUAAGUAAACAAAUCCUCUUUGUGGGACAAAAGUCACAGAGUCCAGGCCCAUGCAUGAAAAAUCAAAGAUUCACCUCCUAAAGGGCUGAAACGACAUUUAAACAUUUAAUAAAUUGUUAAUCAAAUACUAAAUGAACUACUCUGAUAAUCAAUUUGAGUGUUUUUAAAUAAAUACAACUAGCUUUU